This 1786-nucleotide long non-coding RNA is filed under the name Mustela putorius furo (domestic ferret). RNAcentral's name for it is "lncRNA (ENSMPUG00000028526.1)". Lineage: Eukaryota; Metazoa; Chordata; Mammalia; Carnivora; Mustelidae. The record is from RNAcentral.
GGGAUGGGUGACUUGGAACGAGCAAGAACAAAUUCCUGGUAUCUCUCUUUUUUUUUUUAAUUGAAUUAUAAUUGACAUGAAACAUAUUAGUUUCCAAUGUACAACAUAAUGAUUCAAUAUUUAUAUGUGUUGCAAAAUGAUCAUGGUGGGCUGAAUUACCACCCACCACCACAUAUAGUUACAGAAUUUUUUUUCUUGUGAUAAGUUUCAAGAACAACUCUCUUAGCAACUUUCAUAUAUGCAAUGCUCUUUUAUUAACUAUAGUCACUAUGUAGUACAUUACAUCCCCAUGACCUAUUUAUUUUGUAAGUGGAAGUUUGUACCUUUGGACCCCCUGGGUGAUGGUAUCUUGAUGAGGAUCUCGGUUACAUAGGUAUGCACAUUGGUCAGAACCCAUGCUUAAAACUGGGGCAUUUCCCUGGAUGUUAAUUUCUCCUCCAAGGAAAAAGAGGAAACAAACAUGGAACCCUGCUUAAUGAUAUUCAUGCUGAAGUGUUUCAGGGUGAAGUCCUGAUGCCCGCAACCCACUUUGAAAUGUACCAUGAUAAGCUGGACGUGUUUAGAGGUACAGAUGGACAGAGUGGUGAUGAGGCAAUUAUUAUCCCUCUUGAUGCUCCAUUUGUCCCAUCUUUGGUCAGUGGGAACCUCUCCAGGUUGGCUCCCGGGUGCUCCAGACACAAUCUCAAUCCUCAUCAUGACUUUCCCUGCUGUCUAAUGAGUUGCUGUGGUUCAUCUUGCAUAUUUCUUGCUCCAGACCUGGAAUCAGCUUUUCCUCCAAGAAGCCUGCUUUCUUUUUUGUGAGAAUGGUAUUGAGAGACCACAGUAUGGACAUACUUAUGAUAUCAUCCAUUUCAAGUACUGCACACGGCAUUAUUUCCUACUAUGUAAAAGGAAUCAUCUGAACCCUAAAAUUCUCAGAAAUCAGAACAUGCUUCCUGAAAUAAGACAUUAAGUGGGAAUAGGGAAAUACCAACUUAGUGAUCUGUAAUAUGAAACCAAAUAAAUCUAAGAGCAAAAAGACAGUGAUGAAAAGGAUGAAAGAAGAAAAUUCAGAGACAUAGAAGAUGGAUCCAAGGUUUAGUACUCAACUCUUAGGAAUUCUAGACAAAAUGGAAAGAAACAAUGGCAUAAAGAAAAUAAUUUCUUAAAGAUUUUAUUUAUUAGAGAGAGAGAAUGAGACCAUAAGCAAAGGGAGCAGCAGUCAGAGGGAGAAGCAGACUCCCCACUGAGCAGGGAACUCCAUGUGGGGUUUGAGCCAAGGAAGCUGGCGUCAGACCUGGGCCUAAGGCAGAUGCUUAACUGACUGAGCCACUCAGGCACCCAAGAAAAUAAUUUUUAAAAUGAUAAUUGUAAAUGCUGUUCAGCCUACGGACACCAUCUUGGACAUGGAGCAGUAACUGAAUCAGCUUCAUUGUGAAAAUGUAAAAAAAAAAAAAAAAGUAAACUGUGGAGAUGUGUUUCUGAUGUACUAAUUUAUUACCUGGGAUCAGCAUUCAGUUACAUCUUUCUCUUCUUUUGUUAUAAUCACUUAUAUAACUCUGUAAAAUUAGAGAACCCAGGUCUACCUGAGUUGAAUCCAUCCCACAUAAGGUCCUUCCCUUGGAGUGACCAAAAUAUCCCCAACAGCAAGCUGGUUUACCCUUUCAAAGACAUCUAUUUUUUUGGGAAUCAAAGAGCUUGCUGUUAGGAAAGGGGAUGUUAAUGACAGAAAAAAAAAUCAUACAGAGCAAACAAAAUAAAUACACCGAAGAGAGCCUCUCAAACUGGGAAAAAUACAGUAUCACGC